This is an RNase P RNA of 437 nucleotides. It matches the Rfam family "Bacterial RNase P class A". Rfam says of the family: Ribonuclease P (RNase P) is a ubiquitous endoribonuclease, found in archaea, bacteria and eukarya as well as chloroplasts and mitochondria.
GGGGGAAAGCAGGCAGUUGCGUCCCGAUUAAUCGGGAUGAGGAAAGUCCGAACUCCACAGAACUAUGCACUUCGUAACACGAAGGCAGCAAAUCCUCUUGGACAAGCUGACGGAUAGUGCAACAGAAAGCAAACAGCCAAUCCGUUCCGGUUUACCGGAAGUCAUGGAGGCAAUGGUGAAACGGCGGAGUAAAAGCCCACCGUCGUUGCGGGUGACCGCAACGGUACGGCAAACCCUGCAUGGAGCAAAGUCAAAUAAGGUAGCAGAUUCCGGGAAACCGGAAUAAAGAGUGGUUCGCUCAAUCGGCAUUUUGCCGAUGUUACCGGGUAGACUGCAGGAAAGUAAUGGCGACAUUGCUUCAAGAUUAAUAACUGCCUCGGAAUAAUCAUUAAUGAUUAAUCCCAAGACAAAAUUCGGCUUAUCGCUUUCUUCCAUCU